Molecule: ribosomal RNA, 460 nt
Filed under: uncultured Methylomirabilota bacterium
Lineage: Bacteria; Methylomirabilota (SeqCode)
Description: bacterial SSU rRNA
Rfam family: Bacterial small subunit ribosomal RNA
Source: RNAcentral
GGGCUUGACAUCCCACGAACCUGCCCGAAAGGGUCGGGUGCCCGCAAGGGAGCGUGGAGACAGGUGGUGCAUGGCUGUCGUCAGCUCGUGUCGUGAGAUGUUGGGUUAAGUCCCGCAACGAGCGCAACCCUCACCCCUUGUUGCCACCGGGUAACGCCGAGCACUCUAGGGGAACUGCUAGCGUUAAGCUGGAGGAAGGCGAGGAUGACGUCAAGUCAUCAUGCCCCUUACGCCCUGGGCUACACACGUGCUACAAUGGGGCCGACAAAGAGACGCAAAGCCGCGAGGUGGAGCAAAACUCAAAAACGGCCUCUAAGUUCAGAUUGCAGUCUGCAACUCGGCUGCAUGAAGGAGGAAUCGCUAGUAAUCGCGCAUCAGCACGGCGCGGUGAACACGUUCCCGGGCCUUGUACACACCGCCCGUCACACCACGAAAGCCGGCUGUACUCGAAGUCGCUGAG